RNAcentral lists this ribosomal RNA (1272 nucleotides) under Latilactobacillus sakei. RNAcentral describes it as "bacterial SSU rRNA". It matches the Rfam family "Bacterial small subunit ribosomal RNA", at positions 90 to 1349 of the family's 1533-position model. Lineage: Bacteria; Bacillati; Bacillota; Bacilli; Lactobacillales; Lactobacillaceae. The record is from RNAcentral.
AGUGAGUGGCGGACGGGUGAGUAACACGUGGGUAACCUGCCCUAAAGUGGGGGAUAACAUUUGGAAACAGAUGCUAAUACCGCAUAAAACCUAACACCGCAUGGUGUAGGGUUGAAAGAUGGUUUCGGCUAUCACUUUAGGAUGGACCCGCGGUGCAUUAGUUAGUUGGUGAGGUAAAGGCUCACCAAGACCGUGAUGCAUAGCCGACCUGAGAGGGUAAUCGGCCACACUGGGACUGAGACACGGCCCAGACUCCUACGGGAGGCAGCAGUAGGGAAUCUUCCACAAUGGACGAAAGUCUGAUGGAGCAACGCCGCGUGAGUGAAGAAGGUUUUCGGAUCGUAAAACUCUGUUGUUGGAGAAGAAUGUAUCUGAUAGUAACUGAUCAGGUAGUGACGGUAUCCAACCAGAAAGCCACGGCUAACUACGUGCCAGCAGCCGCGGUAAUACGUAGGUGGCAAGCGUUGUCCGGAUUUAUUGGGCGUAAAGCGAGCGCAGGCGGUUUCUUAAGUCUGAUGUGAAAGCCUUCGGCUCAACCGAAGAAGUGCAUCGGAAACUGGGAAACUUGAGUGCAGAAGAGGACAGUGGAACUCCAUGUGUAGCGGUGAAAUGCGUAGAUAUAUGGAAGAACACCAGUGGCGAAGGCGGCUGUCUGGUCUGUAACUGACGCUGAGGCUCGAAAGCAUGGGUAGCAAACAGGAUUAGAUACCCUGGUAGUCCAUGCCGUAAACGAUGAGUGCUAGGUGUUGGAGGGUUUCCGCCCUUCAGUGCCGCAGCUAACGCAUUAAGCACUCCGCCUGGGGAGUACGACCGCAAGGUUGAAACUCAAAGGAAUUGACGGGGGCCCGCACAAGCGGUGGAGCAUGUGGUUUAAUUCGAAGCAACGCGAAGAACCUUACCAGGUCUUGACAUCCUUUGACCACUCUAGAGAUAGAGCUUUCCCUUCGGGGACAAAGUGACAGGUGGUGCAUGGUUGUCGUCAGCUCGUGUCGUGAGAUGUUGGGUUAAGUCCCGCAACGAGCGCAACCCUUAUUACUAGUUGCCAGCAUUUAGUUGGGCACUCUAGUGAGACUGCCGGUGACAAACCGGAGGAAGGUGGGGACGACGUCAAAUCAUCAUGCCCCUUAUGACCUGGGCUACACACGUGCUACAAUGGAUGGUACAACGAGUUGCGAGACCGCGAGGUUUAGCUAAUCUCUUAAAACCAUUCUCAGUUCGGAUUGUAGGCUGCAACUCGCCUACAUGAAGCCGGAAUCGCUAGUAAUCGCGGAU